CGCCAGAUAGCUCAGAUGAUAGAGCACCUGACUAUAGAUCAAGGGGGCCCUGAGUUCAAAUUCUGGUCUGGUCU
Molecule: transfer RNA, 74 nt
Filed under: Magallana gigas (Pacific oyster)
Lineage: Eukaryota; Metazoa; Mollusca; Bivalvia; Ostreida; Ostreidae
Description: Crassostrea gigas (Pacific oyster) tRNA
Rfam family: tRNA
About the family: Transfer RNA (tRNA) molecules are approximately 80 nucleotides in length.
Source: Rfam by way of RNAcentral